Molecule: long non-coding RNA, 182 nt
Filed under: Amphibalanus amphitrite
Lineage: Eukaryota; Metazoa; Arthropoda; Thecostraca; Balanomorpha; Balanidae
Description: uncharacterized LOC122382188
Source: RNAcentral
GCUGGCAUCAAUUUACUGCAGUGGUUUAGGUGACCACCAGCGUGGCCCGCGUGGGCCCUGUUUUUUGCCGCAUCUGCGCAAGAAAUGUUAUUGUUUUGAACGAAAAGCGAGCCGAGGGACAUGGGACGGAUUUUUUACGUGGCAUUGCGGAUCUGGAUGAAUAUACUGAAUUAAAAGGAAAA